AUACUUACCUGGCAGGAGAGAUACCAUGAUCAUGAAGGUGGUUUCCCAGAGCGAGGCUUAUCCAUUGCACGUGAUUCAAUAAAAUUUAAAUAAAUCACUGUAUUACUGUAUCUC
This 114-nucleotide small nuclear RNA is filed under the name Sorex araneus (European shrew). Its description in RNAcentral is "U1 spliceosomal RNA (ENSSARG00000019446.1)". It matches the Rfam family "U1 spliceosomal RNA", at positions 1 to 90 of the family's 166-position model. Rfam says of the family: U1 is a small nuclear RNA (snRNA) component of the spliceosome (involved in pre-mRNA splicing). Its 5' end forms complementary base pairs with the 5' splice junction, thus defining the 5' donor site of an intron. Lineage: Eukaryota; Metazoa; Chordata; Mammalia; Eulipotyphla; Soricidae. The record is from RNAcentral.